UCCUACGGGGCGCAGCAGUGAGGAAUAUUGGUCAAUGGGCGGGAGCCUGAACCAGCCAAGUCGCGUGAAGGAAGAAGGUACUUAGUAUUGUAAACUUCUUUUGUCGGGGAACAAAGGCGGGGACGUGUCCCCGGAUGAGUGUACCUGAAGAAAAAGCAUCGGCUAACUCCGUGCCAGCAGCCGCGGUAAUACGGAGGAUGCGAGCGUUAUCCGGAUUUAUUGGGUUUAAAGGGUGCGCAGGCGGUCUGUUAAGUCAGCGGUCAAAGCCCGGGGCUCAACCCCGGCCCGCCGUUGAAACUGGCAGU
Molecule: ribosomal RNA, 305 nt
Filed under: uncultured bacterium
Lineage: Bacteria
Description: bacterial SSU rRNA
Rfam family: Bacterial small subunit ribosomal RNA
Source: RNAcentral